GCCAUUUCUUGGGCCGCUCCCGCGGCAUAUGGAGGUUCCCAGGCUAGGGGUUGAAUCGGAGCUGUAGCCACCGGCCUACGCCAGAGCCACAGCAACGUGGGAUCCCAGCCGCGUCCGCGACCUACACCACAGCUCACGGCAACGCUGGACCCUUAACCCACUGAGCAAGGCCAGGGACCGAACCUGCAACCUCAUGGUUCCUAGUCGGAUUCGUUAACCACUGCACCACGACGGGAACUCCCAAAUCUUUAGUUUCUUAAGUGAUAUCUUUGAGGGUCAAAUGGCAUCUAACAUAGUUCAUGGUGCCUCGUGAAGGCUUGGCAGAGACUAACUGAAUGGACUGUGAAAGGCAACAUGGUACCAGGGAAAGAGUUCGGGGUUUGAAAGCAGCUGGAUCCUUCUCCAAGCUUUGUAACUAACCCACAAUAUAUCUUUGAGCCAGCUCCUUCCUCCUCUCUUCACGUUUGUCUUCCCACCUAUGAAAUGGGAGUAUUGGAAGAGAUGAUUUCUAAUAUGAUUCCUCCCUCUUAGUCCAAGGGACCUAUAGCGCCAGCUGAUGUCACAUUUGUUUUUUAAAUGGGAAUUCCCAAGAGGACAGAAACGGUGUUGUCUAUUCCUGACAUCCUUAGCACUUACCAGAGUGCAAGGCACAGGGUAUAUGCUCAAUUAGUACUUGUUGAAUAAAUGAAUGAAUGAAUGAAUGAAAAGAUACUAACACCCAUCUGAAGCUCAGAUGAGAAUAACCUAUAAACACUUUAUAUACCCUAAACCCCAGAAAGAAGCAAAAGCCAUUUCCUUGUAAGGGAAGAUGGAUCCACGAGUGAACCACAGCACUGACCCAAGCCUUCAAGAAUGAGAGUAGCUGGAGGCCAGCCAACAGAGGCAGACGGAAGCUAGGGUUGGGAGACCUCUCAGCUCCCCCUACCCCCUCCCCACACCCCACUCAUGAAGUUCAGAUUCCUGGGUCAGACCUUUCAUCACUAGCAUGGAGCCUCUGCAAAAUAUACACGAGAAAGGUCCAAGUCUAGUUUUUGCAAGGCCAUUGCCCCAUUGCUCAGCCUCCCCUGAAAAAGACGAAGAAGAGAUCAAGAAGCCAAGAGAGAGACCAUUCUAAAAACUCCUUUGAGCAAAAUAAAUAAAUAAAUAAAUUGAUCCAAGACGUAAUCUUUUUAGUUGUAUAAACAUGUUUUCCUUGCUUUCUGACCCCUAGCAUUUUGGAGUUUAGGGAGUUGACUGGGUGCCUAGUAUCUAUGAACACUUGGAAAGUUCAUCACCCUGACCUUCUUGGCUGUUAAAUCUUAACACUCAUUGCUGGAAAGUACUUAGGCUUCAAAAAAAAAAAAAAAACUCUGUUUUUUUUUCUAAACACCCUCAUCCCUGAGCUUGCACUUGGGGACCGUGUGCUGGAUUUUCUCUGAUAGCUUGUAGAUUCCCAAACACACAGCCAGUGUUUUUCUUUUCCCACAGACUCUGUGGAAUUCACCUGAAAACGUGGUGAUUAUUUAUGUUCUAAUGUACUUUUGGUCAAGCCACCCAGGACUUCGUAUCCACAGGAAAACUGACAGAUCCAAUCAACUCUCCAAAUACAGUUCUGUAAAGUCUUAUUCAUUUGGAUGCCAUCAGUUCGGAAUUUUUGGAUAAUUCAGACAGUCUGGAUGGAAGUUUCUUUUUGCAUAGCUCUACCCAAAAAAGAGAGUUUCUUAACAAAUUGAUAAUGCAAAGCAGACUGCUGGAGCUGAGAAUAAACUGUCUUCAAGUCCUUUAGAAUAGCAUUCACUGACAGGCAAUCAACGAUUAAUUACAAAUUAUUUUUAUCAAAUAAUUAAAAUGAAUUCCAGGCAAUUCACCAUACCUUGGGAAUAGUAUAGGAUAGAGGGAGAAAAAAAAAAAAAAAACAGGUUUUCAAUCCAUCAUGCAAGGGCUCAAAUUCCAGCUAUGUAACUGCAACUCAUGAGUUUCGGUUACUGCUUAAGCUACUUCCCUUCUCUGAGCCUUAAUUCUGACAUAUGGAAAAGUUUGCAGGAAGGACAUAAGAAUUGGAAAUCACAUAGGUGAAGGCAGAGUUUCCAAAACUCUGCUCAAAAGGAUUCUAGGUCCACAGAUGUUAACACAUAUUUCAUGAAAAGAAAUCCAUGGUUGACUAAGUCAGGGAUAAACGAGGCCAAAUGAAAUUAAAUAUGUUUGCCUGCUUUUUUUUAAUCUGUUUAUUUGCAGGUCUUCUCAGAGCCUUUAAUAUUGUGGGGGGGGGGGUUGUUUUGUUUUAUUUUUUGUCUUUUUGCCAUUUCUUGGGCCGCUCCCACGGCAUAUGGAGGUUCCCAGGCUAGGGGUCGAAUCGGAGCUGUAGCUGCCUGCCUACACCAGAGCCACAGCAACACAGGAUCCGAGCCGCAUCUGCAACCUACACCAUAGCUCACGGCAAUGCCAGAUCCUUAACCCACUGAGCAAGGCCAGGGACCGAACCCGCAACCUCAUGGUUCCUAGUCGGAUUCAUUAACCACUGCGCCACGACGGGAACUCCCUAGUAUUGUGUUUUAUGUUGAAACUGUUUCUGUUGGAACACUUUUUGACCUCUCAAAGAACUCCCACCGAACAAUUUAGAAAACGAGGCCUUAGGAAAUGUGGUGUGAGCUUUGUUUCCAGUAGGGGUAUUGAGCCAUUAUGGAGGCAUCCAUGCUCUAUCCCCCAAAUACUUUGGAGACCAAGGCCCAAUCUACAGAAUAGAGUUCAUGACCAAGAAACGAGAUCUUAGCUUAUGAAGCCAUAGUCUUACAGACCUCCCACAAACCAUCCUAGAAAAAGUAACUCAUGGGAUUUUUUUUUUUCAGAUGUACCUGUAAACCAUUAUAUCUGGUUGUGGGUCAGUGACUCAAGGCCCUAAAAGUUUCAGAAGAAUAAAGAAGUUUGGAUUGGGGAGAAAAAUCAUGGAAGGAGGCAAGGAAUCUAAUUCCUGGCAUGUGAUAGGAUGCUAGGUAAAGGACUGUUUGUGAAUUCAUCAAGGUAAUGAAAAACAUAAAAGCCAUAUAGAAUAAAAUUAGCCUCGUUAUCCAUUUUCCUUCUGGGAACUACAGCAAAUGCAGUAGUCAUUAUCCUCAAGGGACAAAGAAAAGGACAUCUACAAGGAACUUGGGAUAAUUAAAGAUGGGACCCCUAGCCUGGGAACUUCCAUAUGCUGCACCUGUGGUCCUACCAAAAAAAAAAAAAAAAAAAAAA
This 3210-nucleotide long non-coding RNA is filed under the name Sus scrofa (pig). RNAcentral describes it as "lncRNA (ENSSSCG00000063533.1, ENSSSCG00130016703.1, ENSSSCG00150044620.1, ENSSSCG00180034408.1)". The record is from RNAcentral. Lineage: Eukaryota; Metazoa; Chordata; Mammalia; Artiodactyla; Suidae.